Molecule: unclassified non-coding RNA, 233 nt
Filed under: Hevea brasiliensis (rubber tree)
Lineage: Eukaryota; Viridiplantae; Streptophyta; Magnoliopsida; Malpighiales; Euphorbiaceae
Source: RNAcentral
UCCUGCAGAAAGCAUCAUUACCACCUGAAAUAACAAAUGUACUCAAAAUGAGAUUUGGAGAUGCCAAGUCAUCACUGCUUGCUAAAUCCACAUAUGCAAUCAAUCAUGGGCGGUGAAACGUCAAUCAAGCCAAUGAUGAAUUUACAAUAUUUUCAUCCAACAGUUGUUUGCAAACCUAUAGGCAUCCCAAAGGUUAUCAAACUCUGUAACACCAUUUAGUGCACAUCUUUUAA